RNAcentral lists this ribosomal RNA (972 nucleotides) under bacterium enrichment culture clone B6_122. RNAcentral's name for it is "bacterial SSU rRNA". It matches the Rfam family "Bacterial small subunit ribosomal RNA", at positions 8 to 916 of the family's 1533-position model. The record is from RNAcentral.
AGAGUUUGAUCAUGGCUCAGGACGAACGCUGGCGGCGUGGAUUAGGCAUGCAAGUCGAACGGUAUAAACCUUUCGGGGUUUAGAGAGUGGCGAACGGGUGAGUAACACGUAGGUAAUCUACCCUCAAAACGGGGACAACCCAGGGAAACUUGGGCUAAUACCGGAUGCGUGCAAACAAUGUUUUGGCUGCUGUAAUUGUUCACGGAAGUGAAUAGUUAUGAGAGUUCAGAGCAUAAUUUGCAUAAAAGAUGGCGUAAGCUGUCGUUUGAGGAUGAGCCUGCGUCCUAUUAGUUAGUUGGUGAGGUAAUAGCUUACCAAGGCGAUGAUAGGUAGGCGGCCUUAACGGGUGGUCGCCCACACUGGGAUUGAGAUACGGCCCAGACUCCUACGGGAGGCAGCAGUCGAGAAUAGUCUACAAUGGACGAAAGUCUGAUAGUGCGACGCCGCGUGAACGAAGAAUCCUUUCGGGGUGUAAAGUUCUUUUCUAUGUGAGCAGUUCCUUUUAUAUGAAGAGUAUAGGAGGCGGGAUUUAAGCAUAGGAAUAAGCAACGGCUAACUCCGUGCCAGCAGCCGCGGUAACACGGGGGUUGCAAGCGUUGUCCGGAAUUACUAGGCGUAAAGUGCAGGUAGGCGGAUAGAUAAGUUUAAGGUUAAAGGCUACGGCUUAACCGUAGUAAGGCGUUAGAUACUGUUUAUCUGGAAUGCGGUUGAGGGAGACAGAAUUCCUGGUGUAGCGGUGGAAUGCGCAGAGAUCAGGAGGAAUACCGAAGGCGAAGGCAGUCUUCUAAGCCGAAAUUGACGCUAAACUGCGAAGGUGUGGGGAUCAAACAGGAUUAGAUACCCUGGUAGUCCACACAGUAAACGAUAAUCACUAGGUGUUGGGUUCGUAUAGGACUCGGUGCCGGAGCUAACGCGAUAAGUGAUUCGCCUGGGGAGUACGAUCGCAAGGUUGAAACUCAAAUGAAUUGACGG